AAUAUUGUACAAUGGGGGCAACCCUGUUCCAGCGCUGCCGCGUGUGUGAAAAAGGUCUUCGGAUUGUAAAGCACUGUAAGUUGGGAGGAAGGGUUGUAGAUCAAUACUCUGCAAUUUUGACGUUACCAACACAAUAAGCACCGGCUACCUUCGUGCCAGCAGCCGCGGUAAUACGAAGGGUGCAAGCGUUAAUCGGAAUUACGGGGCGUAAAGCGCGGGUAGGUGGGUAAGUAAGAUGGGUGUGAAAACCCCGGGCUUAACCUGGGAACUGCUUUCAUAACUGCUGAGCUAGAGUACGGUAGAGGGUGGGGGAAUUUCCUGGGUAGCGGUGAAAUGCGUAGAAAUAGGAAGGAAAACCAGUGGCGAAGGCGACUACCUGGACUGAUACUGACACUGAGGUGCGAAAGCGGGGGGGGCAAAC
Molecule: ribosomal RNA, 421 nt
Filed under: uncultured bacterium
Lineage: Bacteria
Description: partial 16S ribosomal RNA
Rfam family: Bacterial small subunit ribosomal RNA
Source: RNAcentral